CAGCAGCCGCGGGAAUACAGAGGGUGCGAGCGUUAAUCGGAUUUACUGGGCGUAAAGCGUGCGUAGGCGGCUUUUUAAGUCGGAUGUGAAAUCCCUGAGCUUAACUUAUGAAUUGCAUUCGAUACUGGGAAGCUAGAGUAUGGGAGAGGAUGGUAGAAUUCUAGGUGUAGCGGUGAAAUGCGUAGAGAUCUGGAGGAAUACCGAUGGCGAAGGCAGCCAUCUGGCCUAAUACUGACGCUGAGGUACGAAAGCAUGGGGAGCAAACAGGAUUAGAUACCCGCGUAGUCCCUGUCUCUUAUAC
RNAcentral lists this ribosomal RNA (301 nucleotides) under uncultured bacterium. Its description in RNAcentral is "partial 16S ribosomal RNA". It matches the Rfam family "Bacterial small subunit ribosomal RNA", at positions 509 to 807 of the family's 1533-position model. The record is from RNAcentral.